Molecule: unclassified non-coding RNA, 310 nt
Filed under: plant metagenome
Description: partial contains 5.8S ribosomal RNA, internal transcribed spacer 2, and large subunit ribosomal RNA
Rfam family: 5.8S ribosomal RNA (bases 1-105)
Source: RNAcentral
GAAAUGCGAUAAGUAGUGUGAAUUGCAGAAUUCAGUGAAUCAUCGAAUCUUUGAACGCACAUUGUGCCCCUUGGUAUUCCAUGGGGCAUGCCUGUUCGAGCGUCAUUUGUACCCUCAAGCUCUGCUUGGUGUUGGGUGUUUGUUCCCGUCUCCGCGCGUGGACUCGCCCCAAAGUGAUUGGCAGCCGGCGUACUGGUCCCGGAGCGCAGCACAUGUCGCGCAAACGAGUGCCUUGGUACGGCGGCGUCCAUAAGCCCCUCUCUCACGCUCUUGACCUCGGAUCAGGUAGGGAUACCCGCUGAACUUAAGC